Molecule: ribosomal RNA, 380 nt
Filed under: Ulva sp. HT4
Lineage: Eukaryota; Viridiplantae; Chlorophyta; Ulvophyceae; Ulvales; Ulvaceae
Description: SSU rRNA
Rfam family: Eukaryotic small subunit ribosomal RNA
Source: RNAcentral
GAGGCAAUAACAGGUCUGUGAUGCCCUUAGAUGUUCUGGGCCGCACGCGCGCUACACUGAUACGUUCAACGAGCUCCUUGACCGAGAGGCCCGGGUAAUCUUUGAAACCGUAUCGUGAUGGGGAUAGAACUUGCAAUUAUUGUUCUUCAACGAGGAAUGCCUAGUAAGCGCGAGUCAUCAUCUCGCGUUGAUUACGUCCCUGCCCUUUGUACACACCGCCCGUCGCUCCUACCGAUUGAACGUGCUGGUGAAGCGUUAGGACUGGAGCUCUGGGCCGGUUCGCCUGCCCAUUGCUACGGGAAUUUCGUUGAACCCUCCCGUUUAGAGGAAGGAGAAGUCGUAACAAGGUCUCCGUAGGUGAACCUGCGGAGGGAUCAUUG